RNAcentral lists this ribosomal RNA (531 nucleotides) under uncultured bacterium. RNAcentral describes it as "bacterial SSU rRNA". It matches the Rfam family "Bacterial small subunit ribosomal RNA", at positions 777 to 1320 of the family's 1533-position model. The record is from RNAcentral.
AAUAGAUACCCGGGUAGUCCUAGCCGUAAACGAUGAACACUAGGCGUAGUCGGUAUCGACCCCGGCUGUGCCGUAGCUAACGCAUUAAGUGUUCCGCCUGGGGAGUACGGCCGCAAGGCUAAAACUCAAAGGGAAUUGACGGGGGCCCGCACAAGCAGCGGAGCGUGUGGUUUAAUUCGUCGCAACGCGAAGAACCUUACCAGGGCUUGACAUGUGGCGGAAAACGGCGGAAACGUCGUCCUCCCGCAAGGGACCGUCAUGCAGGUGUUGCAUGGCUGUCGUCAGCUCGUGUCGUGAGAUGUUGGGUUAAGUCCCGCAACGAGCGCAACCCCCGUGGCAUGUUGUAUCUCUCAUGCCAGACUGCCGAGAGAAACUCGGAGGAAGGUGGGGAUGACGCCAAGUCAGCAUGGCCCUUACGUCCUGGGCUACACACACGCUACAAUGGCCGGCACAACGGGUUGCCAAACCGCGAGGUGGAGCUAAUCCCUUAAAGCCGGUCUCAGUUCGGAUUGCAGGCUGCACUCGCCUGCA